RNAcentral lists this ribosomal RNA (468 nucleotides) under uncultured bacterium. Its description in RNAcentral is "partial 16S ribosomal RNA". It matches the Rfam family "Bacterial small subunit ribosomal RNA", at positions 28 to 507 of the family's 1533-position model. The record is from RNAcentral.
GACGAACGCUGGCGGCGUGCUUAACACAUGCAAGUCGAACGGAAAGACCCUGCUUUUGUGGGGUGCUCGAGUGGCGAACGGGUGAGUAACACGUGAGUAACCUGCCCUUGACUGUGGGAUAACUUCAGGAAACUGGGGCUAAUACCGGAUAGGAGCUCCUGCUGCAUGGUGGGGGUUGGAAAGUUUCGGCGGUUGGGGCUGGACUCGCGGCUUAUCAGCUUGUUGGUGGGGUAGUGGCUUACCAAGGCUUUGACGGGUAGCCGGCCUGAGAGGGUGACCGGCCACAUUGGGCCUGCGCUACGGCCCAGACUCCUACGGGAGGCAGCAGUGGGGAAUAUUGCACAAUGGGCGGAAGCCUGAUGCAGCAACGCCGCGUGCGGGAUGACGGCCUUCGGGUUGUAAACCGCUUUCGCCUGUGCCGAAGCGUGAGUGACGGUAAUGGGUAAAGAAGCACCGGCUAACUACGUG